This is a non-coding RNA of Gopherus evgoodei (Goodes thornscrub tortoise), 1020 nucleotides long. The record is from the annotation of a RefSeq genome assembly. NCBI's taxonomy places the organism in Eukaryota, Metazoa, Chordata, Testudines, Testudinidae.
CUGCAGAGGCCCAUGCAGCUGCCUGUGCCGCUGCUUCCUUGAGAAACUGACCCUAUCAAUAUAAUGAAAAUGGAUUAAUUAAAACAAACUGGGCUGAUCACAUUUAAAUCCCACACAGUAAAUGACUGAAUGAUUUUAGCUCCUCUAACUUGUUUUUCAAGCUGCGCUCGCUCGGUUACUCAACAUUAAUCAAGCAGCCGUUGUUACCUCUGUAUCCUGUAAAGCUAACUCUGGCUGCUUUACCAUCCGGAUCAUGCAAAUAUGUUAUAGUUAUUACAUCCAAUAACCGCAAAACACCAUCAAGUCAGAUAUUUCAAAACUCCUCCCUGGCACCAACCUCUGGUCAUUUACAUAAAUGGGCUCUUUUUGCAUAUUCACACAUGGCUGAUGUUUCCUCACUGAACUGCUGAACACAUAAAUGGUUCCAUUUCCACUAUAUACCUUACUGAGGAGCAUUUCCAACCACACAGAAGCAAGAUGAUCUCAAAGACUCCCCUUCUCUGGCUGCUGCUUUUCUGGUUUCAGGGUUCCAAUGGGCAGAUCGUAAUGACUCAGACUCCAGAAUCCCUGGCAGUGACUCCAAGAGACAGAGUCACCAUCAACUGCAAAGCCAGUUCUAGUGCUAGCGGAUGGGUGUCCUGGUACCAACAGAAAUCAGGGCAAGCUCCUAAGCUCCUUAUCUACGGCGCUUCCACCCGUCCUUCUGGGAUCCCAGACCGGUUCAGUGGCAGUGGGUCGGGCACUGACUACACAUUCACCAUCAGCAGGGUUGAAGCUGAUGAUUCUGGAGAUUAUUAUUGCCUGCAGACUGCUAGCCUCCCUCUCACAGUGAUACAGACCAAUACAAAAAUGUCCCUGCUCCAUGAAGCAUGAAGUCUAGUAGACACUGCUACAUAAAAUAGCACAGCAAACUAGUUUUCAAAUGUUCUGCCAAAAGAAAAAUAAGAGGAUAAAUCAUCCCAUUCACUAACAACCUAAAACUCUAGCAUUGGACUGCCAUCCCGAGAGGCUAGCUAUGCA